GACCGUAAACCGGAUGUGUAACGGUUUUUGCCUGAAAACACGCUGAAGGAACAGCAUCAGAGCUCAGCCAGCACUCAGACAGACAGACGGACGGACAGACGGGCAGGCUGGCAGACUGGCAGCACAGCUGGCACAGUGCUGGCUGCAUCCGGCCACACAGAUGCCCGCGGAACUUUGAUCUAAAUCAUAAUUUUGUAGGCUACCCCAAGAGACAUGGUCAUGGAGCAGACUCCUGCUGGCACGCCCGAGCUAACGUUAGCCAAGAGGGGGAAUUUCAGAAAUUUGAGCUCUGCUCUCCUGUCAAAAUGCUAACGAGCCCUUUGCUACUGCCUGUUUAAGU
Long non-coding RNA from Anguilla anguilla (European eel), 340 nucleotides. RefSeq lists it as uncharacterized. The transcript is spliced from 3 exons. NCBI's taxonomy places the organism in Eukaryota, Metazoa, Chordata, Actinopteri, Anguilliformes, Anguillidae. The record is from RefSeq and is a predicted model, not a curated record.